UUUUGGACAAUGGGCGCAAGCCUGAUCCAGCAAUGCCGCGUGAGUGAAGAAGGCCUUCGGGUUGUAAAGCUCUUUUGUCAGGGAAGAAACGGUGAGCUCUAAUACAGUCUGCUAAUGACGGUACCUGAAGAAUAAGCACCGGCUAACUACGUGCCAGCAGCCGCGGUAAUACGUAGGGUGCAAGCGUUAAUCCGAAUUACUGGGCGUAAAGCGUGCGCAGGCGGUUAUGUAAGUCAGAUGUGAAAUCCCCGGGCUCAACCUGGGAAUGGCAUUUGAGACUGCAUGGCUAGAGUGUGUCAGAGGGGGGUAGAAUUCCACGUGUAGCAGUGAAAUGCGUAGAGAUGUGGAGGAAUACCGAUGGCGAAGGCAGCCCCCUGGAUAACACUGACGCUCAUCACGCA
Molecule: ribosomal RNA, 401 nt
Filed under: uncultured bacterium
Lineage: Bacteria
Description: bacterial SSU rRNA
Rfam family: Bacterial small subunit ribosomal RNA
Source: RNAcentral